Molecule: unclassified non-coding RNA, 1253 nt
Filed under: Hevea brasiliensis (rubber tree)
Lineage: Eukaryota; Viridiplantae; Streptophyta; Magnoliopsida; Malpighiales; Euphorbiaceae
Source: RNAcentral
CAGAAUAUAAAAUCAUAUUUCAUCAGUACCGUUUCAUGCGUAUCCAAAGCUAAUAAUAUAUUUAUAAGAUCUUAAUUUCAUAAACAUUUAAUAAAAUCCUACAAACAACAGCAAAACAGGAUAUUAAUAUGAUUUCCAGCAUCAAUUCAAAAUCAACAAAUCAAAAACCUGUUAGACUUGGAUUAUCCAGAAAAUGAACAUUAUCAUUGCACAUCAGAAAUUACUAAUUAUAUCACACAGGUUGAGCAGGGAAACACCUUAAAAACUACAGUAGGAUCCUCGUCAAAUUCUAGUAAUCCUAGAAUGCCCGACAAUACAUCAAACAGGCUAGAGUAAUCAAAUCACAAACUAAUUGAAAGCCUUAGCCACAAAAUCAAAAUCAUUCAUUCUAUUGCAUAAGAAAAUGCAUUAUAAAGCUAAAAUCCAAAGCAUUAUCCAAAAAAAGGCUAAAAUAAUAAACAUUACAUCUCCUCAUUCAUGUAAAACUUCAAUAAUUCAUAGAACUUGAUAAGGCCCAUAAACAAAAACCCAGAAUCUGGAGAAGCAUCAAAAAAAAAAAGCACAAAUAUCCAUUUCUUUAGUCCACUCAAUCAAGAGGAAUCUCGACCUCACCAUCAGUAAUCUCCUGCUGAAGAUCUUUCGGGUUCUUCCCAUCAACUGUACACCCAACAGACACGCAAGUGCCCAAUAUCUCCUUGACGGUCCCGCUCAAGUCCUUAGCCAUCGAUCUGGGCCGCAUUACCUUAGCAAUCUCAAUCACAUCAUCCAGCGAAAUGUUCCCACUGUGCUUAAUAUUCUUCGUCUUCUUCCUAUCACGCUCAGGCUCCUUCAAUGCCUUGAUCACAAGAGCAGCAGCGGAAGGAACCACCGUGACCUUAGCUUGACGGUUCUGGACAGUAAGCUUGACGGUGACACGUAAACCCUUCCAGUCCUUGGCCGUUUCCUUGGCAAUAUCUUCACCAAUCUUCUUGGGAGAGAGACCAAGAGGACCAAUCUUUGGAGCGAGAGAUGAUGCUGCUCCGACCUCACCUCCGGUGACCCUGACGAAAACGUCCACCACCUGACUUGGGUCGAACUUUGGCGGCAUAGUUUGGCCUGAGAUUGGGUGUUAAGGGGAUAAAGACAGCUACAAAAACGAAGGUGGUUAUAGAGCGGAGGCGCAGCAAAAUGGGAGAGAGAGUUUCUUUAACAUAUAAGCUGAUUGAGCUAGGGUUUUGGUUUGCGGACAAUGCAAAAUGACAAAGUUAUCCUGG